RNAcentral lists this ribosomal RNA (261 nucleotides) under uncultured archaeon. RNAcentral describes it as "partial 16S ribosomal RNA". It matches the Rfam family "Archaeal small subunit ribosomal RNA", at positions 748 to 1008 of the family's 1478-position model. The record is from RNAcentral.
CAGCCGUAAACUAUGCGCGUUAGGUGUACUGGUGACCACGAGUCACCGGGGUGCCGAAGGGAAACCGUGAAACGUGCCGCCUGGGAAGUACGGUCGCAAGGCUGAAACUUAAAGGAAUUGGCGGGGGGAGUACCACAACGGGUGGAGCCUGCGGUUUAAUUGGACUCAACGCCGGAAAUCUCACCGGAUAGGACAGACAUAUGAUAGUCGGGCUGAAGACUCUACUUGAUGAUCUGAGAGGAGUGCAUGGCGUCAGUGACU